Molecule: ribosomal RNA, 537 nt
Filed under: Ceylonosticta walli
Lineage: Eukaryota; Metazoa; Arthropoda; Insecta; Odonata; Platystictidae
Description: partial 16S ribosomal RNA
Rfam family: Bacterial large subunit ribosomal RNA
Source: RNAcentral
GUCUUCUUGUUAUUAUUUAAGAAGUCUGACCUGCCCGGUGAGUAUAUUUUUAACGGCCGCGGUAUUUUGACCGUGCAAAGGUAGCAUAAUCAUUAGUCUUUUAAUAGAGGACUGGAAUGAAGGGUUUGACGAGGUGUUGACUGUCUCUUAUUUGAAUUUUUGAAUUUGACCUUUUAGUUAAAAGGCUAAAAUUUUAUUGGUAGACGAGAAGACCCUAUAGAGCUUUAUAAUCAUUAUUUUGAAUUGUUUUUGAUUAUUUUCUUUUUUAUUAUUAUUGAUUAUUUUGUUGGGGUGACAUUUGAAUUUAAUUAACUUUUAUUUUUUUUUAUAUCACUGAUGUGUGUUUAUUUAUGAUCCAUUAAUGAUGAUUAUUAGAAUAAGUUACCUUAGGGAUAACAGCGUAAUCCUUCUUUGGAGUUCCAAUUUACAGAAGGGCUUGCGACCUCGAUGUUGGAUUAAGAUUAUUAUUAGGUGUAGCCGCUUAGUUAAUAGGUCUGUUCGACCUUUAAAUUCUUACAUGAUCUGAGUUCAGACCGG